Molecule: ribosomal RNA, 253 nt
Filed under: uncultured bacterium
Lineage: Bacteria
Description: partial 16S ribosomal RNA
Rfam family: Bacterial small subunit ribosomal RNA
Source: RNAcentral
UACGUAGGGGGCAAGCGUUGUCCGGAAUCAUUGGGCGUAAAGAGCGUGUAGGCGGCCCGGUAAGUCCGCUGUAAAAGUCCAGGGCUCAACCCUGGGAUGCCGGUCGAUACUGCCGGACUAGAGUUCGGAAGAGGCGAGUGGAAUUCCCGGCGUAGCGGUGAAAUGCGCAGAUAUCGUAAGGAAGACCAGUGGCGAAGGCGGGUCUCUGGACAGUUCCUGACGCUGAGGCACGAAGGUCAGGGGAGCAAACGGG